AGUGAUGGGGCGGGCAGAGGCUCUGGGGGCUGCAGUUCAGUCGCCACGGAAGCUUUCCUCCUCCCUCCGGAACCAGCCCGACAGACGAAGUGCCCGCAUCUGCCUCCGCCCUCCUCUCCCCCCCAGCUCCAGGCGAGGGGGGCGGGCUGCCAGUGGGGGGCCGAGAAAGCCAGGUAGGAGGAUGUACUCCGUGGAGAGCUCCUUCCAUCAGGUGGACGAGCCCUCCGGCCGGAGCAGUGCCCCGCUGGAGCAGAGCGGAGUCUGAAGGAAAUGGCCUUUCUGCCAAAGAAGGCUUUUCCGUGCCCUGCCAACUGCUGCCAUUUCUCCAGAGGGGAUCGCGCCGAACGUUAAAUCCUGCCACGGAACCAGCAGACCCUCUUGCGAGGCGCACAUGGAGGUGGAAUAUCACGUCUGUAGACUUUCUGUGGUCCUGCCUCUUGGCUUUGGGUCAAGGUACUGCCCAGUCUUGGUGACUGUUUUGUUGCUGUUGACAACGGCUCUUAGUUAAAAGUUCCGGGCCAGGUGCCCUAAAUUUGAGUGGAUUGGAAUCUGAUUCACUCGCACUCAGCACCAAUUACAUGGGCCAAUACAGUGACUUCAGUAUUACUGGCUUCUCUCCCUCUUGGGGCUUACCGAAGUUUUACUUUCCUUUGGUCUGUAUCUUUCUCAGCUAAUGUGGGAAGAACACCGUUCAUUUAUGUCUACUGCAGUGGAUAAGUACUAUAGGUCUCUUCAUGCAAAAGGCUGGAAAAAGCCCCAUAAGAGGACUCUGUCUGGAACAACACUUCGUAGCCUCUAGGCCACUGUUGCCUCAUUUGUGAAACAAAGAGGAUGAAUGACAAGCUCUUUAAGGCUCUUCCAGCUCUAAAUCAAAAGAUUAUAGGAGGCAAGAUUCUAUGAGAUUAUAAAGUAAAAGAUGAUUUCUGUUCAA
Molecule: long non-coding RNA, 931 nt
Organism: Myotis davidii
Lineage: Eukaryota; Metazoa; Chordata; Mammalia; Chiroptera; Vespertilionidae
Exons: 2
Source: RefSeq, a predicted model, not a curated record